This 94-nucleotide non-coding RNA is filed under the name Streptomyces sp. Its description in RNAcentral is "Glycine sequence". It matches the Rfam family "Glycine riboswitch aptamer". From Rfam's summary of the family: This family represents the bacterial glycine riboswitch. The record is from RNAcentral. Lineage: Bacteria; Bacillati; Actinomycetota; Actinomycetes; Kitasatosporales; Streptomycetaceae. RNAcentral also lists the same sequence under 1 other name.
UGAAUCCGCGCGGGAGAGUCCCGGUCACCGUGCCGGGCGCCGAAGGAGCAAGAUCCUCCCUUGAAUCUCUCAGGCCCCGUACCGCGUGGAUGAG